UACGAGGGGUGCGAGCGUUGCUCGGAAUCAUUGGGCGUAAAGCGAGUGUAGGUGGUCAUAUAAGUCAGUGGUGAAACCCCUGGGCUCAACCCAGGAAGUGCCUUUGAUACUGUAUGACUUGAGUGUGGGAGAGGGUGCUAGAAUUCCUGGUGUAGUGGUGAAAUACGUAGAGAUCAGGAGGAACAUCGGUUGCGGAGGCGGGUGCCUGGCCCAACACUGACACUCAGACUCGAAAGCGUGGGGAUCAAACAGG
This 253-nucleotide ribosomal RNA is filed under the name uncultured bacterium. RNAcentral's name for it is "partial 16S ribosomal RNA". It matches the Rfam family "Bacterial small subunit ribosomal RNA", at positions 524 to 776 of the family's 1533-position model. The record is from RNAcentral.